CUACGGGGCGCUGCAGUGGGGAAUAUUGCACAAUGGGCGCAAGCCUGAUGCAGCCAUGCCGCGUGUAUGAAGAAGGCCUUCGGGUUGUAAAGUACUUUCAGCGGGGAGGAAGGGAGUAAAGUUAAUACCUUUGCUCAUUGACGUUACCCGCAGAAGAAGCACCGGCUAACUCCGUGCCAGCAGCCGCGGUAAUACGGAGGGUGCAAGCGUUAAUCGGAAUUACUGGGCGUAAAGCGCACGCAGGCGGUUUGUUAAGUCAGAUGUGAAAUCCCCGGGCUCAACCUGGGAACUGCAUCUGUUACUGGCAAGCUUGAGUCUCGUAGAGGGGGGUAGAAUUCCAGGUGUAGCGGUGAAAUGCGUAGAGAUCUGGAGGAAUACCGGUGGCGAAGGCGGCCCCCUGGACGAAGGCUGACGCUCAGGUGCGAAAGCGUGGGGAGCAAACAGGAUUAGAUACCCCAGUAGUC
Molecule: ribosomal RNA, 464 nt
Filed under: uncultured bacterium
Lineage: Bacteria
Description: partial 16S ribosomal RNA
Rfam family: Bacterial small subunit ribosomal RNA
Source: RNAcentral